This 484-nucleotide ribosomal RNA is filed under the name uncultured bacterium. RNAcentral's name for it is "partial 16S ribosomal RNA". It matches the Rfam family "Bacterial small subunit ribosomal RNA", at positions 30 to 507 of the family's 1533-position model. The record is from RNAcentral.
AUUGAACGCUGGCGGCAGGCCUAACACAUGUAAGUCGAGCGGAUGAAGGGAGCUUGCUCCUGGAUUCAGCGGCGGACGGGUGAGUAAUGCCUAGGAAUCUGCCUGGUAGUGGGGGAUAACGUCCGGAGACGGGCGCUAAUACCGCAUACGUCCUGAGGGAGAAAGUGGGGGAUCUUCGGACCUCACGCUAUCAGAUGAGCCUAGGUCGGAUUAGCUAGUUGGUGGGGUAAAGGCCUACCAAGGCGACGAUCCGUAACUGGUCUGAGAGGAUGAUCAGUCACACUGGAACUGAGACACGGUCCAGACUCCUACGGGAGGCCGCGGUGGGGAAUAUUGGACAAUGGGCGAAAGCCUGAUCCAGCCAUGCCGCGUGUGUGAAGAAGGUCUUCGGAUUGUAAAGCACUUUAGGUUGGGAGGAAGGGCAGUAAGUUAAUACCUUGCUGUUUUGACGUUACCAACAGAAUAAGCACCGGCUAACUUCGUG